Molecule: ribosomal RNA, 522 nt
Filed under: uncultured bacterium
Lineage: Bacteria
Description: bacterial SSU rRNA
Rfam family: Bacterial small subunit ribosomal RNA
Source: RNAcentral
AGAGUUUGAUCCUGGCUCAGAUUGAACGCUGGCGGAAUGCUUUACACAUGCAAGUCGAGCGGCAGCGCGGGGGCAACCCUGGCGGCGAGCGGCGAACGGGUGAGUAAUACAUCGGAACGUACCCAGUCGUGGGGGAUAACACAUCGAAAGAUGUGCUAAUACCGCAUACGACCUGAGGGUGAAAGGGGGGGAUCGCAAGACCUCUCGCGAUUGGAGCGGCCGAUGUCGGAUUAGCUAGUUGGUGAGGUAAAGGCUCACCAAGGCGACGAUCCGUAGCUGGUCUGAGAGGAUGAUCAGCCACACUGGGACUGAGACACGGCCCAGACUCCUACGGGAGGCGGCAGUGGGGAAUUUUGGACAAUGGGCGCAAGCCUGAUCCAGCGAUGCCGCGUGUGUGAAGAAGGCCUUCGGGUUGUAAAGCACUUUUGUCCGGAAAGAAAUCCGUCUGGCUAAUACCCGGACGGGAUGACGGUACCGGAAGAAUAAGCACCGGCUAACUACGUGCCAGCAGCCGCGGUAAUA